Molecule: ribosomal RNA, 543 nt
Filed under: uncultured Alkalispirillum sp.
Lineage: Bacteria; Pseudomonadati; Pseudomonadota; Gammaproteobacteria; Chromatiales; Ectothiorhodospiraceae
Description: bacterial SSU rRNA
Rfam family: Bacterial small subunit ribosomal RNA
Source: RNAcentral
AACGCUGGCGGCAUGAUCCUAACACAUGCAAGUCGAGCGGCAGCAGCAGGAGCUUGCUCCUGGCUGGCGAGCGGCGGACGGGUGAGUAACGCGUGGGAAUCUGCCCUUCGGUGGGGGAUAGCCCGGGGAAACUCGGAUUAAUACCGCAUACGCCCUACGGGGCAAAGUGGCCCUCUGAUUCAAGGUCACGCCGAAGGAUGAGCCCGCGUCCGAUUAGCUAGUUGGUGGGGUAAAGGCCUACCAAGGCGACGAUCGGUAGCUGGUUUGAGAGGAUGAUCAGCCACAUGGGACUGAGACACGGCCCAGACUCCUACGGGAGGCAGCAGUGGGGAAUAUUGGACAAUGGGCGAAAGCCUGAUCCAGCAAUGCCGCGUGUGUGAAGAAGGCCUGCGGGUUGUAAAGCACUUUCAGCAGGGAGGAAAAGCUUACGGUUAAUACCCGUGAGUCUUGACGUUACCUGCAGAAGAAGCACCGGCUAACUCCGUGCCAGCAGCCGCGGUAAUCGGAGGGUGCGAGCGUUAAUCGGAAUUACUGGGCGUAAAG